ACGCACCUCACGCCAGUUCUAUCUGCUGCUGUCUUCACUCUCGCCUUCUACCCAACACCCGGAGGAAGGGCGGGAGACUCCUGGUGGUGAGAGAAGAUGACCCCACGUACCUUUACCUCGCUGGUCAACCUCUUGACCUCUCUCGUGUUAGUUGUGACGUCAUCAGUACCAACCGUGACGGACACAGGUCAAAGGUCAACCCCUGAUGAGAGCACUGGACACCAUCAUCAUCAUGGCGUACCAGAACACACAUACACCCAUAGAGACGGUCCUCGGGUGGACAUGGCGCAUUCAGGAAACGUGUCUUCAGUGCUGGGAAGGACAGCCUCUCUCCGUUGCCGUGUCCUUCAUCGUGGCAACAAGACGGU
Molecule: long non-coding RNA, 368 nt
Filed under: Homarus americanus (American lobster)
Lineage: Eukaryota; Metazoa; Arthropoda; Malacostraca; Decapoda; Nephropidae
Description: uncharacterized LOC121862187, transcript variant X1
Source: RNAcentral